Molecule: ribosomal RNA, 93 nt
Filed under: Phocicoccus pinnipedialis
Lineage: Bacteria; Bacillati; Bacillota; Bacilli; Caryophanales; Salinicoccaceae
Source: RNAcentral
GGCCACACCUGUUCCCAUGCCGAACACAGAAGUUAAGCUCUCCAGCGCCGAUGGUAGUUGGGGUUUCCCUGCGAGAGUAGGACGCUGCUAGGC